GGGUCCUAGAACGGGCCUAGCUCAGAGCAGGUGCUCACUAUUGAUGGAAUGCUUGUUGAAAGAAUGCAUGAAUCUCAUCUCCUUUUGUGGGUGAAAAACUCAUCCUAUUCUCAUUCCUGAUUAACUUUCUUUCUUUUUCUUUUUUUUUUCAAAAGGGAGCCAUGAUCUGUCACCCAGGUGGAGUGCAAUAGUGUGAUCUUAGCUCCCUGCAACCUCUGCCUUCUGGAUUAAAGAAAUUCUGCUGCCUCAGCCUCCCAUGUAGCUGGGAUUACAGGUGCACGCCACCAGGCCCGGCUAAUUUUUUGUAUUUUUAUUAGAGACAGGGUUUCACCAUGUUGGCCAGGCUAGUCUCAAACUCCUGACCUCGUGAUCUGCCCGCUUUGGCCUCCCAAAGUCCUGGGACUACAGGCAUGAGCCACCGUACCCAGCCACUCUUGGUUAACUUAAUGGAAAUAUUUACAGAGAAUCUUUCUCUUCUGGGUUCUAGCAUCUUAUCUGUAACCUCUGCAGGGGAGUCACUGAGCAGAAGGAAGCGAGUUGCCUGAGAUUCUUCAAAGCCCCAGCCCUUUUGGAGGUAGAAGUUGCUGGCCCCAUCUUGCUCACAAUCCUCCAAAGUUUGAAAGUUAUUUUCCAGGAGACUUGGCUUGCACUGAGAGUUGUCCUCCCACCCUCUCUCCAAAUUUCCUCUUGGGGGUAGCCUAACAAGGUACUGUCACAGACCCUUGCCAGCCACGAUGACCCCACCCAGACCAUCCCUCUGCUGUUUCACUCUUUGUUCCUCUCUGGAGCUCUCUGGGGAAGGGU
Molecule: long non-coding RNA, 804 nt
Filed under: Pongo abelii (Sumatran orangutan)
Lineage: Eukaryota; Metazoa; Chordata; Mammalia; Primates; Hominidae
Description: lincRNA
Source: RNAcentral